This 485-nucleotide ribosomal RNA is filed under the name uncultured bacterium. RNAcentral describes it as "bacterial SSU rRNA". It matches the Rfam family "Bacterial small subunit ribosomal RNA", at positions 21 to 518 of the family's 1533-position model. The record is from RNAcentral.
GGCUCAGGACGAACGCUGGCGGCGUGCUUAACACCUGCAAGUCGAACGAUGACGAUGGUGCUUGCACCGUCUGAUUAGUGGCGAACGGGUGAGUAACACGUGAGUAACCUGCCCUCCUCUUCGGGAUAACCGCCGGAAACGGUGGCUAAUACCGGAUAUGAAUGCCUGCCGCAUGGUGGGUGUUGGAAAGAUUUAUCGGUGGGGGAUGGACUCGCGGCCUAUCAGUUUGUUGGUGAGGUAAUGGCUCACCAAGGCGAUGACGGGUAGCCGGCCUGAGAGGGCGACCGGCCACACUGGGACUGAGACACGGCCCAGACUCCUACGGGAGGCAGCAGUGGGGAAUAUUGCACAAUGGGCGAAAGCCUGAUGCAGCGACGCCGCGUGGGGAUGACGGCCUUCGGGUUGUAAACCUCUUUCAGCAGGGAAGAAGCGAGAGUGACGGUACCUGCAGAAGAAGCGCCGGCUAACUACGUGCCAGCCGCUGC